UUCUGGAGGGGGGCGGUCCACAUUCUAAACCGCUUCCACCUUCUUGUUUGAGACUGGGUCUUUCACCAAACUUAGAGCUCACUGACGUGACAAGACCAGCUGGCCAGCAAGCCCCCGGCAUCCUCCUGCUUCUGGCAAACGCUUCGUCAUCCGGGCCACCUCCUCACCCCUUGUCCUUGUCCCUUCAUGCAGUUUUUAAGCCCCCCCCGUUACUGUGUCUAUAAAGCUCUGAUGAUGGUUUUUCAGCCAUUCUCUCCCAACUGUCCCGGUUUAGAAAAAUGGGGAAGAAAUGUUACUGCAAAAAGAUCAGAGGUCAAGUUCCCGUCCUGGGCUCUGUUGACAUCUGGAGAAGACACUUAGCUACAGCACAGUCUCACUGGAAUGUCAUCAAUUCCAGUUCUCAGUCCAAGUCACCAACAUCUCUAAGUUCUAGAAGUCUCUUGCUAAGAGAAUGUCUCCAGGAGAUAUUUUGAGUCAGUCUUCUCAGGAGAAUAAA
Molecule: long non-coding RNA, 496 nt
Organism: Mesocricetus auratus (golden hamster)
Lineage: Eukaryota; Metazoa; Chordata; Mammalia; Rodentia; Cricetidae
Exons: 3
Source: RefSeq, a predicted model, not a curated record